This 76-nucleotide transfer RNA is filed under the name bacterium. Its description in RNAcentral is "tRNA-Arg". It matches the Rfam family "tRNA". Rfam says of the family: Transfer RNA (tRNA) molecules are approximately 80 nucleotides in length. Their secondary structure includes four short double-helical elements and three loops (D, anti-codon, and T loops). The record is from RNAcentral. RNAcentral also lists the same sequence under 1 other name.
GCGCCUGUAGCUCAGUGGAUAGAGCGUUCGGUUGCGGUCCGAGAGGUCGUAGGUUCGAUUCCUGCCAGGCGUACCA